UCGGGGUGCUACCUGCAAGUCGAACGAGAAAUCCGACACUCAGGCAACUGAGUGUUAGAGAGUAAAGUGGCGCACGGGUGAGUAACGCGUGGGUAACCUACCCUUGAAACCGGGAUAACCCCGCGAAAGCGGGACUAAUACCGGAUGUGGUUCCAUCAGCCUAGGCUCUUGGAAUUAAAGGUGACCUCUUCAUGAAAGUUGCCGUUCAGGGAUGGGCUCGCGUACCAUUAGCUUGUUGGUAGGGUAAUGGCCUACCAAGGCUACGAUGGUUAGCUGGUCUGAGAGGAUGAUCAGCCACACUGGAACUGGAACACGGUCCAGACUCCUACGGGAGGCAGCAGUGAGGAAUUUUGCGCAAUGGGGGAAACCCUGACGCAGCAACGCCGCGUGAGCGAAGAAGGCCCUUGGGUCGUAAAGCUCUGUCAAGUGGGAAAAAGGUCUUUCGAUUAAUACCCGGAAGAUUUGAUGGUACCACUGGAGGAAGCACCGGCUAACUCCGUGCCAGCAGCCGCGGUAAUACGGAGGGUGCAAGCGUUGUUCGGAAUUACUGGGCGUAAAGGGCGUGCAGGCGGUUUGGCAAGUCAGGCGUGAAAGCCCUGGGCUUAACCCAGGAAGUGCGUUUGAAACUGCCUUUCUUGAGUAUGGGAGAGGAGAGUGGAAUUCCCAGUGUAGAGGUGAAAUUCGUAGAUAUUGGGAGGAACACCCGUGGCGAAGGCGACUCUCUGGACCAAUACUGACGCUGAGACGCGAAAGCGUGGGGAGCAAACAGGAUUAGAUACCCUGGUAGUCCACGCUGUAAACGAUGAGACUAGGUGUAGCGGGUAUUGACCCCUGCUGUG
RNAcentral lists this ribosomal RNA (839 nucleotides) under uncultured bacterium. Its description in RNAcentral is "bacterial SSU rRNA". It matches the Rfam family "Bacterial small subunit ribosomal RNA", at positions 39 to 845 of the family's 1533-position model. The record is from RNAcentral.